Molecule: long non-coding RNA, 3348 nt
Organism: Colius striatus (speckled mousebird)
Lineage: Eukaryota; Metazoa; Chordata; Aves; Coliiformes; Coliidae
Exons: 5
Source: RefSeq, a predicted model, not a curated record
GGAGGGGAAGGGAGCCGGGGACCGGGGCUGGGGAGGGGAAGGGGGGAGCGCGCGGGACAGGGCGAGUCUCCGAGUCACCACAGCAGUUGCAGCACCGGCCCAACGCUUCCCUCCGCCACCUCCAUAGAGAGCCGACCCGCUGCCGCGUCUAAACCGCACUGAGCCAGCCCCACUAACUUUAUUACCGUUCACGCAACCUACCCCACCUCCCCUUAGCAGCCGCCAAUGGCCGCGGAGGGCUCCGCCCGUCUUGCCAAUCACAACCGAGAAAGGGGGUGGCCUUAACGUCGAUGUGGGCGGAGGAGGGAGGAGGUUUGGUUGAACUGUGCCACCGCCGCAGUGCAGCAUCCGUAUUCGCGAAAGGCGCUACGCCGCCUCGCUGGCGGUAGGGCCGGGCGAAGAAGGGAGAUUUGCGCAAGUGGCGUAGCCGGGUAAUGGCGGCGGCUUGGCUGGCUGUUUGUUCCGCUGUUUGCUGCUCUGCUUCAACCGUUACAGAGCUCUAGUUCUAAAGGCCCAGGGUGUGAGUUCCAGUUGAUUCUGUCACGCUCAUAGGAAAGUAUUUUGAUAUAUAUUUAUUCUCAUAAGGUUUUUUGGUUUGCAGUGUUUAAAAUGUAAUACAUUUAUUUAAGGUUUCUCCUCAGUCAGACCACAUUUCAGAUUGGAAGUAAAAAAUUGGCUGAAUAUAGACUGUAGUCCUGAGCUUGCAAUCAGAUCCGAAGGAGGAGAGUGGCCGUUUGAGCUCCAGCAGUCUGUUUGUAUGGAUCCAGUUUCAGGUUUGCUUUCUGGGUUUGGAAACUAUUUCUAUCUCUGCAUGUGCUUUUAGCUAUUAAGUGGCCUGUCUGUGUCAGGGUGUUCUGCAGGCUACUCAUGGACAACCAGUGCUGUUGAGAGAUGUUUUUCUGUAUUUAUUAUGAUAAGCAUGCAGCAUCUCGUGGGGUUUUCUUGCUCCUUCUCAGUGAAACAAAACAAAGAUGGCCAGGCUUUUAGCUGUAGGUGGAAGAAGUUUGAGUCACGGGAGACUUUCAGAGGCUUACCAGUUUUAUCCUUUAACAAUCAAGUCAUAGUCCCAGGUUGUCACUGAGGUAGCAGCUACCAGGACUUGCCAAAGAUUCAAACUUACUUGCUCUAGACAAAGCAGGACAGAAAAACAAGAGCUAAGUAAACCUGACAACAAAUGCCACAAGCAUCCACAUCUGCUUUGUUCACACAUAAACCUUCCACUUUCGGUUUGCAUGACUCAUAAUUCAGAUGACUGGGAGAAAGUGAUACAUGUAAUAACUCUUGAACCACAUAGACAGCAAGUCCAAACAAAUUAUAUUGUAGAGUUUCCAAUUUCCAACCUCAUUCUUAAUGCUUUCAGUGCCAUGUGCCACAGUGUACCAAGGGUUAUGUAAGGCCUAAAGGGUGCUGUCAUGCCAGAGCUCAUGUGUCACAUCUUACCUGGGAUGAAGUUUGUUCAAGAGAGGUUUCCUCAUUAUUCCUUAGCAUUAAGUAUAGUUUACUUACCAGAUUCUGUUAUGGAAAAUCGUGAAUAAAUUACCUGAAAGUAGUUGCAUAAGGGUGAACGUAACUGUCACAGGUACUUGUACCAGAACUGUUGUAUUUUCCUGCAUUUAACAAUAGACGUUACUGCAAGAGCUUGGACCUUGCAUGUGAAUCUGCAAGAACAGAACUGUGCAGAACUCCAUUGAAAUCAAUGGAAUCCAGUUGAAAGAAGGGGUCAAUGGGCACGGAGGCAACAGCAAAGUCAACAAGAUGUAGAUCCAGUUAAUAUUAUUGAAAUAAAAUAUUCUCAGAGUAAAAAGUAAUAAAAAUACUUGAAGAUCUUAAAAGCAGAAGUGAAAGCAAGGAUGGGAUUUGCUUUGCAUUGGAUGGCAGAAUAUUCACAUGAGGUGUUUCCAGGACAAGCAUUCCAACACUGUUUAGGUCAGAGACAUAAUGAUAAUAAAUAAUAAAAAUUAAUAAUAAUCAGAGAAUUUAUCUUUUUUCGUGUGUGGGGAGAUGUGAGGAGCAGAAGGGAGUGGAAAACCUGCAAAACACGGUAGCAGAGUGAGUGUGCUGUUCCUGGACUGCAGUGUAAAGCACUAGCUUUACAAUAAAAAUUGCUGAUGCUGAGCUCCUGAAGGAAAAUCACUACUAAUGCAACUAAGUCUGCCUGGAAAAAAAACCCAACCCAAAUGGAGAGCAUUGUUGGCCUCCUUUUGAUGUCAGUUGAUGAUCUAGCUUCAUAUGAUGCCAUCUUCUCGGGUGUUUUGUGCUACUGUAACAAGGACAAAGGAGCCUCAGUACAAGACCAACUCGAGAUGUAGUUAAUUGGUCUGUGUUGCAGUCUGCAACUGGAGAAGGAAGAUCAAGAAAUAAAGCUUCCAAACACUAUUGAGGAGACUGGACAAAGUUAAACACGGCAAGUCAAAAGCCAUAUCCAUUAGCCAAGAUGGAAUUAGACUUCCUGUUAAAAGAAGAACAAUGAAAAAUACUGACAGAGUGAACACACUGAGGCUUUCUUUAAUUUAGAUAUUGUAGUCUCUUUGUAUCACAUAUUUCCUGAAUAGCUUUUACUGGACAGAAUUGAUUUUUUCUGGCCUAGCCUUUUCCUUUCUUCAAUAGCCUUAUGUUCUUUUUUUUUGUAUGAUACAUUGGAUACGUUAAAUAAUUCAGUUCCGUUCUCUAAUCAGUAUUUGUUAGCUUCCAGGAGUCAGCUCUUAUUGCUAGGCAACUAAACAAGAAAUCUCCAUCUUUGUAUUAAGCAGUUUGCUGUAUCUAUGCUUGACCCUAUGCUUAUCUGUAUAUAUGUCUGUAAAAUUACUUAAUUGCUGCUGUAAACAUUAAAUUCAAACAUGCUGCAUAUAUUACACAUAUUGAAUUUAUCUUGAAACUGAGUUGUUACUAGUCAAAACAGCUUGGAAAAGGACACAGAUUUGUUCCUCUCCCUUUUUAGAUGUAUUUCCCUCACAUACAACUAUCUUUAAGGGCGGCUGUUGUGCUGAAAAUUACUUUUGUCUUUUGGACUAUGAAAAGAAGAGCUAUUUCUAUAUUAACCACUCCAAUCUAUGCAUUUUUACAUCAGGAUACCUCCGUAUUAAUGUUUCUGUCUGAUUUGAAUUACUGUAAUUCUCUGUGUGCAAGUUUUCCAACUUACGGGACAGAUGAGUUUGCUUAAAAAACCAAUAGCAGGGCUUCAGCAGAUUGCACAGAGAGCAGUCUUUUAACAAAGCUUAUACAUUUAAUAUUUUAAUGAGUUUGUAUCAGCCAUUGUGGUGUUUGAUUGCAUUUCCAUUGCCAUCCAGCUUAUUUUGUUUACCUCUUAAUAAUAAAGUGACCUCAAUAACAUCAUAUUUAUUUAUUCUU